RNAcentral lists this long non-coding RNA (580 nucleotides) under Octopus vulgaris (common octopus). Lineage: Eukaryota; Metazoa; Mollusca; Cephalopoda; Octopoda; Octopodidae. The record is from RNAcentral.
AGAUUCCAAAUCGACAGUGGUAAAAGACUGCACACCAAAAUGAAUAAGCGACAACAUCUUGGCCAUGAUGGCGAAGGCUUUCGGCGGGCUAAUAUUUGAUCACUGUUAUUAUCACUCGAUACUAAACAACCAAAGCAUAGAGAAGACGAAAUUUAUAUUCGAAUCAAGCGUCCAGUGAUUGAUUAUUAAUCUGGUGUUUUUUGAUCCUGACAAAUUAGAAAUCGAUACACAGUAUCCAAAUAAAAGAGAGGAAAAACAAACGCAAAUAUCCACUGACACAAACAUACACACACAUACACACAUACGUACGCAAACACACACAUACACACUCGCGCACACGAAUUCAAGAAAAACUAAAGUAAUAAAUAACUGCAAAAAUAAUAAAUAGAACCGAACAAACAGAAAAUAAGGAAGAGAUAUAAAUCAACACUAGGAUUGGUAGGUCCACAUAAAUUAUGAUAAUCUUGAAAUAUUAAACUGAUUAUUAGUUCUUGUCUAGUUUACUUUUGCAUUCGUCACCAUAGUGGAAAGUACAACAGCGAAGAAAUCACUGACGAAAUAACAUUUCACGAUAUUUAGG